GUACCAUCAUGAAUAAAGCAAAUUACAUUGACCACCUGGGUUUAAAUGGCCAGCUUCCAUCUUUUGGUGUUAUUUCUUUGAAAUAAAAUGUAUCUCACAUUUAAUUUGGGAGUAAGAAAACAUAACAUAAAGAAAUAAUGCAAACUUCAAUGCCAUGGGGGGUGUGGCUUACAUGUGUGCCUUAAAACGUGUUUAUAUAUAAGAGGAAUUAACUUGCUUUGUGUAUAAAAGAGCUAUAGUUCUUCAAAGAGCGGGCAUCUGAUCCCAGAACUGAGUUCACUGAGAUUAAAUUGUGCUCUGGGAAUUGAAGGUGUCCUCAGACCCUGGAAAUCCAAAAUGCAAAUGAAGAAGAAAUCAGGAGGUGUAAACACUGAAGGGAAUGAAUGUUUUCUGAAAUCCAGGCAGAAGAGAGACUGCUUGGCAAAAUGGUUGCACAGAACAAACUUGGAAUUUUCAGACUGAAAAAACAAAAACCUGAAAACAACUUCCCCAAAGACAAGGACCCACUUAAUGGAAGGAGAGAACUGACAAGAAAGUUGGCCUCUGACUUCCACAUGGGUGCUAUGGUACAACUGCUUCUAAGUCUCUGGAAGGUUCCAGUGUCCCAGGAGUUCCACAUGCACUCUAAGAUGAUUAUACCACUUUGCUACCAGCUUGCAGUAUUUUCAGUGCUGCAGAAAAGAGUUGCUGCACGAUGAGGAUUUCUGGCGAUGAGAAGCAGAGCUCAUCACUGGCAGGUUAGAUUCUGAAUCAUGGCCUACUAACUAAACCCCGGAGUGCCACACCUUGGAAACACAGAAGACAGAAGUCUCAGUGCGUCAUUUUUCUAGUUGCUUUCAAGGUAUCAUUAAGUGCUGCCUAAGAGUACCCUUCUAGUGCAAAAUGUGUUGUUCAGGAUUCUGUCCAGAUGCUGUUGGGCUGCUUCAAGGAGACUUCAAAUGGUCCUACUAGUGAGCCACCUUAUCGACCUUCACUCUGACAUUUGGCUUGGCUGCGUUUGAAGUGGUCCCAUGAGUGAGUCAUCUUACCGACCUUCACUUUGCCAUUUGGCUCGACUGCAUAUCAGAUGUUGUUGAAACCAAAACUAGUGGAUCCCUCUUCUUUCCAGGGAAGACUACAUUUUAGAAAUCUCCACAAUUACAACUUUAAACUGAAGCCAGAAAAUACAUUUUUUUGAAACUAAUCAGUCAGCAGAUCACCUGUCAUCCAACUGUGUGCCAUAUACAUAUAAUUUCAAGAAACAUUGGCCAUCAAGUACUUAAAAUUUUAGGGAUUUGGGCAACACCCAAUGCAGAACAGAUGAAUUUCAUGGUUUCUUUAUGCAUUUGCACAAAUUAAAAUAUAAGUCUUCACUUGGUUCGUUUGAACCCCUUUCUUCAAUUAGCUCUGUAUGCAGAGAAGGCCAGACAGCAGUUUUCAGAGAGCAAUCAAGAUUCUUCUGCAUGUUGUUACCUCUGUGUGUGAACGCCACUCUGACAGGGCAAAUUCUUGGAUUAAAAGUUGAUUGUACUCUA
RNAcentral lists this long non-coding RNA (1514 nucleotides) under Cricetulus griseus (Chinese hamster). RNAcentral describes it as "lncRNA (ENSCGRG00015005877.2)". The record is from RNAcentral. Lineage: Eukaryota; Metazoa; Chordata; Mammalia; Rodentia; Cricetidae.